Molecule: ribosomal RNA, 194 nt
Filed under: uncultured bacterium
Lineage: Bacteria
Description: partial 16S ribosomal RNA
Rfam family: Bacterial small subunit ribosomal RNA
Source: RNAcentral
ACUCCUACGGGAGGCAUCAGUGAGGAAUAUUGGUCAAUGGGUGCAAGCCUGAACCAGCCAUCCCGCGUGAAGGAUUAAGGUCCUAUGGAUUGUAAACUUCUUUUGUAUAGGGAUAAACCUACCCUCGUGAGGGUAGCUGAAGGUACUAUACGAAUAAGCACCGGCUAACUCCGUGCCAGCAGCCGCGGUAAUAC